RNAcentral lists this unclassified non-coding RNA (215 nucleotides) under Hevea brasiliensis (rubber tree). Lineage: Eukaryota; Viridiplantae; Streptophyta; Magnoliopsida; Malpighiales; Euphorbiaceae. The record is from RNAcentral.
CUGGAUGAGCUGGCGGCCGGAGGCGAUGGGGACUCGGGCGCUAGCGAGGGAGGUGAGGUAAAGGAGACGAGAGUCGUCACGUGAGAGGGUGUCAUCCCAUGAGGAGCUGGGGCCAAAGGAAUGGAGAAUAUGGAGGUUAGAACCAAUGUCCGGCGGAGCCGAAUGGGCGGCGGUCACAGCAGAGGAGUGGGAGGCGAGGAGAGAGAGGAGGGCAG